GGCCUAUUAGCUCAGCUGGCUAGAGCGUCGUGCUAAUAACGCGAAGGUCACAUGUUCGAGACCGAUAUUGCUUC
RNAcentral lists this transfer RNA (74 nucleotides) under Triticum aestivum (bread wheat). RNAcentral describes it as "tRNA_PseudoAAT". The record is from RNAcentral. Lineage: Eukaryota; Viridiplantae; Streptophyta; Magnoliopsida; Poales; Poaceae.